RNAcentral lists this ribosomal RNA (253 nucleotides) under uncultured bacterium. Its description in RNAcentral is "partial 16S ribosomal RNA". It matches the Rfam family "Bacterial small subunit ribosomal RNA", at positions 524 to 776 of the family's 1533-position model. The record is from RNAcentral.
UACAGAGGGUGCAAGCGUUAAUCGGAAUUACUGGGCGUAAAGGGUGCGUAGGCGGGUCUUUAAGUCAGGGGUGAAAUCCUGGAGCUCAACUCCAGAACUGCCUUUGAUACUGAAGAUCUUGAGUUCGGGAGAGGUGAGUGGAACUGCGAGUGUAGAGGUGAAAUUCGUAGAUAUUCGCAAGAACACCAGUGGCGAAGGCGGCUCACUGGCCCGAUACUGACGCUGAGGCACGAAAGCGUGGGGAGCAAACAGG